Non-coding RNA from Vicia faba (fava bean), 261 nucleotides. The record is from the annotation of a GenBank genome assembly. Lineage: Eukaryota; Viridiplantae; Streptophyta; Magnoliopsida; Fabales; Fabaceae.
AUGAGCAUACGGAUCAAGGAAAGCGCCAUGUUUCGUGAACAACAAGAAAACAACCCUUGUUUUAAUUUGCUGUCAUUAUUACCGAAUCUUUCAAUUUAUUCACCUCUCUUUCUCCUUCUUCAUCUUCCUUCUCACCCCUUAAUCACCAAUUCAAUCUUCUCCCUUUCUUUCUUCCACUACUUGGAAAACAGCAGCAUCACUGCCAGAACCAGUUUCCCUUACUCUGGCGUUCCUUUCUUCAUCUCUUUAAAGUCCUUUUAA